CCUACGGGUGGCAUCAGUGAGGAAUAUUGGUCAAUGGACGAGAGUCUGAACCAGCCAAGUAGCGUGAAGGAUGACUGCCCUAUGGGUUGUAAACUUCUUUUAUAUGGGAAUAAACUGUUCCACGUGUGGGCUUUUGUAUGUACCCUAUGUAUAAGGAUCGGCUAACGCCGUGCCAGCAGCCUCGGUAAUAAUGAGGUACCGAGAGUUAUCCGUAUUUAUUGGGUUUAAAGGGAGCGUAGGUGGAUUGUUAAGUCAGUUGUGAAAGUUUGCGGGUCAACCGUAAAAUUGCAGUUGAAACUGGCAGUCUUGAGUACAGUAGAGGGAGGCGGAAUUCGUGGUGUAGCGGUGAAAUGCUUAGAUAUCACGAAGAACUCCGAUUGCGAAGGCAGCUCACUGGACUGCAACUGACACUGAGGCUCGAAAGUGUGGGUAUCAAACAGGAUUAGAUACCCCAGUAGUC
RNAcentral lists this ribosomal RNA (460 nucleotides) under uncultured bacterium. RNAcentral's name for it is "partial 16S ribosomal RNA". It matches the Rfam family "Bacterial small subunit ribosomal RNA", at positions 338 to 795 of the family's 1533-position model. The record is from RNAcentral.